UCACUGCAACAACAACUUAAAGAGCCCAUUUUGAAACAGUACUCUGUAGUUCCAGAAGAUUAUCACUGAAUAUGGGAAUUAAUUUGCAGAGUAAUAAGUCACUGUAGUAACAGCACAGGAAAUAAAAGGUAAGGAAAUAAAAGAUUAUUCUGCGAGUGUUAUCAACAAAAAUCUCUUAUCUUUUAAAGCCACAAUGCUGUUGUCACAGUCAACUCUCAGUGGCUGUGGUCAUGCUAUGUUAGUGCUCACUUUCACAUGGGGAGCUGAAUGACAGUGAGGAGAAGGGACUUCCUCUUUCUCGAGCACAGUCAGCUUCCUCUGCUUUCCACCAAGAUUACAAAAAGUGGAAUCAACCUUGUAGCUGAGUGUGCGUGGUGGCCUGUGACCACGGCCUUCAUCGCCAGAGAGAAGGAAGUGAUUAUUCCAUUUUAUAGAGAAGGGGAUGUCCAAAACAGAAAGUGGCUUCUGGUGUGGGUAUUUUUCCAUUCACCAAACAUCGCUAGCUGUUAAGUGCAGUUAUAAACCUCUACAAGCUAUCUCCAGCAGGGGGCGGAGAAGCUUUCUGCUGCUAACGAGACGAGUGGACGGGAGAAAGCAAACGAAGUAGAGCGUCUCCCUCGGGCCGUAUAUCGUUGGAGCGGGUGACGUGUGAAGCUUCACAUCCAAAAGCGCGUUCCCGAAUAAGUGAAUGCGUCUUUUCACAUUGAAACGUUCGUGACAUUCUCCGUGUCAGUGUGUUCAUUAAUAACACAUAACACCACCUGCCCCACGCAGAAAAAAAGAAACCGGGCAUCCAAUGUGUCUCACAUAACCCACAGACACCAUCACCAUAGACGUCGCAAUCUCGGCAACCUCGUUUACUCAACGUUCAGCACCAUCAGAGACCCAGGUGUCAGGAGGGCUCUGGAACUGCCAGUCUGCUGUCCAGAAGGCUGACUUUCAGCACUAGCAUCCAUCACUUCCUGGCUCUGAGACCCGGAUCGCGCCUGAGAACUUGGCGACUCCGACUGCCCCGUCCUCUGCCUCUUCCAAGUGAGGAGCGCCCGGCUCCACAACACUCAGUGUUCAGGACACAAGACAAAAGUUCUAGUCAGUGCGAGAGCAACACCGUUUAAACACCUUCUGGCUGUUGUGUGUGUACUCUACACAGCCUGAGUUCUGCGUGUUUGCUACCCCCCCGUCAGACAGGCAGUGCCCCUUUCAGAACAACGUCCUGCUAUGCCUUCUGACUGUCAGGAGUGUAAGGAGGUACACACAUUGAGUGAGCAUGUAAAGGAAAAGGUUGGUAGAUGUAAAACUGAUGUAAAUUUCAUUGUUUAUUGUUGCAAAAAAAUAAACCAUACAUUUAUUCUUAA
Long non-coding RNA from Electrophorus electricus (electric eel), 1355 nucleotides. RefSeq lists it as uncharacterized. The record is from RefSeq and is a predicted model, not a curated record. Lineage: Eukaryota; Metazoa; Chordata; Actinopteri; Gymnotiformes; Gymnotidae.